UUGAGCGCUGGCGGAAUGCUUUACACAUGCAAGUCGAGCGGCAGCGCGGGGCAACCUGGCGGCGAGCGGCGAACGGGUGAGUAACAUAUCGGAACGUACCCUAUCGUGGGGGAUAACACAUCGAAAGAUGUGCUAAUACCGCAUACGACCUGAGGGUGAAAGCGGGGGAUCGCAAGACCUCGCGCGACAGGAGCGGCCGAUAUCGGAUUAGCUAGUUGGUGGGGUAAAGACUCACCAAGGCGACGAUCAGUAGCGGGUCUGAGAGGAUGAUCCGUCACACUGGAACUGAGACACGGUCCAGACUCCUACGGGAGGCAGCAGUGGGGAAUUUUGGACAAUGGGGGCAACCCUGAUCCAGCCAUUCCGCGUGAGUGAAGAAGGCCUUCGGGUUGUAAAGCUCUUUCAGCCGGAACGAAACGGUACGCUCUAACAUAGCGUGCUAAUGACGGUACCGGCAGAAGAAGCACCGGCUAACUACGU
Molecule: ribosomal RNA, 480 nt
Filed under: uncultured bacterium
Lineage: Bacteria
Description: bacterial SSU rRNA
Rfam family: Bacterial small subunit ribosomal RNA
Source: RNAcentral